CGAGGAAUCUUGCGCAAUGGGGGAAACCCUGACGCAGCAACGCCGCGUGAGUGAGGAAGGCCUUCGGGUCGUAAAGCUCUGUCAGAUGGGAAGAAAUGGGUGGGGGUGAAUAUCGUCCACCCUUGUCGGCACCAUCAGAGGAAGCACCGGCUAACUCCGUGCCAGCAGCCGCGGUAAUACGGGGGGUGCAAGCGUUGUUCGGAAUCAUUGGGCGUAAAGCGCGCGCAGGCGGCUUGGUAAGUCAGAUGUGAAAGCCCUGGGCUUAACCCAGGAAGUGCAUUUGAUACUGCCUCGCUAGAGUACGGGAGAGGAAAGUGGAAUUCCUGGUGUAGAGGUGAAAUUCGUAGAUAUCAGGAGGAACACCGGUGGCGAAGGCGACUUUCUGGCCCGAUACUGACGCUCAGGCGCGAAAGCGUGGGGAGCAAACAG
Molecule: ribosomal RNA, 429 nt
Filed under: uncultured bacterium
Lineage: Bacteria
Description: bacterial SSU rRNA
Rfam family: Bacterial small subunit ribosomal RNA
Source: RNAcentral